Molecule: non-coding RNA, 917 nt
Organism: Rattus norvegicus (Norway rat)
Lineage: Eukaryota; Metazoa; Chordata; Mammalia; Rodentia; Muridae
Source: RefSeq, a predicted model, not a curated record
AUUUUGGGAGCCCUUUUUUUUUUUUAAAUCAGGGUUUUGAGAAGAAAACAAAGGACGUCACACAGUGCUGUGGUCUGGUUGAACACUGCCAGUGACAGGUUCUAAGUUCUGAGACAGCCUUUUGGAAUUCAAAAAGUCCAACUUCCAUUAAACACCCUCCCCGCUUUCUCCUUGACAGAAUCUAACCUUAACAUAGGCCAGAGGCAGAGAAUCAAAAGAAGCUGGCGCUGACCUUCUGUCUACCUGGUUUUCAGAGUCUGUUGCAGAAUCACAACCGGAUACCUGUAUUGUUUACUUGCUGGCAGGCAAAGACAUGAUCUUUUUUAAUCCUCACACAGCCCUGCACUGCAGAUGGAGUCUCCAGGGCAAGUAAACUAAGAAGUUGUGAUGAGAAGAGUCUGCCUGUCCACAGUGAGGACCUGAGGAGCAGAGUAUAAAGCCCUGCAGCCUGUCCUUCAUUAUCUGCCACAGAGGGACUGGGAGGGUAAAACUUCCAGAGCAAAGAAAGGACCUGUGAGAUGGCUUUCCAGAUGGAACCUUCUGUGUAGUCCUGGAUGGCCCGCAGCUUGCUAUGUAAACCGGCUGACCUGGAAUUCACGGAUCUGCAAUUACCUCAGCCCCAUGAGUGUCGGGAUUAAAGGUGCCCGUUUCUUCUGAAGGUACUCAUGCGUAAUCUGUCCCUGCCGUCACCACACAUCCAAAUGCGCCACCACACAGCCUGAGGAGCUGAAAUCACAGCCAACAGCACCCAUUGUGGAAACAGAGUCUCUCUCUGUGGAACCCUGGCUGUCCUAGAACUCUCUCUAUAGACAAGGCUGGCCUUGAACUCAAAGAUCCAUUUGCUUUUACCUCCCAAGUGUUGGUAAAUGGUGUGUGCCGUCAUCACCACCCAGCCAAAUAAAGCAUCUUUAAGAAAA